This 460-nucleotide ribosomal RNA is filed under the name uncultured bacterium. Its description in RNAcentral is "partial 16S ribosomal RNA". It matches the Rfam family "Bacterial small subunit ribosomal RNA", at positions 338 to 795 of the family's 1533-position model. The record is from RNAcentral.
CCUACGGGAGGCAGCAGUGAGGAAUAUUGGUCAAUGGGCGGGAGCCUGAACCAGCCAAGUCGCGUGAGGGAAGACGGUCCUACGGAUUGUAAACCUCUUUUGCCGGGGAGCAACGGGGUCCUUGCGAGGGCCCGAUGAGAGUACCCGGAGAAAAAGCAUCGGCUAACUCCGUGCCAGCAGCCGCGGUAAUACGGAGGAUGCGAGCGUUAUCCGGAUUGAUUGGGUUUAAAGGGUGCGUAGGCGGACUGUUAAGUCAGCGGUAAAAGCCCGGGGCUCAACCCCGGCGAGCCGUUGAAACUGGCUGUCUUGAGAUGUCGAGAGGUAUGCGGAAUGCGCAGUGUAGCGGUGAAAUGCUUAGAUAUCACGCAGAACCCCGAUUGCGAAGGCAGCCUGCCAGGCCAUGACUGACGCUGAUGCACGAAAGCGUGGGGAUCAAACAGGAUUAGAUACCCGAGUAGUC